UAGGGAAUCUUCGGCAAUGGGGGGAACCCUGACCGAGCAACGCCGCGUGAGUGAAGAAGGUUUUCGGAUCGUAAAGCUCUGUUGUUAAGGAAGAACGAGUGUGAGAAUGGAAAGUUCAUACUGUGACGGUACUUAACCAGCAAGGGACGGCUAACUACGUGCCAGCAGCCGCGGUAAUACGUAGGUCCCGAGCGUUGUCCGGAUUUAUUGGGCGUAAAGCGAGCGCAGGCGGUUAGAUAAGUCUGAAGUUAAAGGCAGUGGCUCAACCAUUGUAUGCAUUGGAAACUGUUUAACUUGAGUGCAGAAGGGGAGAGUGGAAUUCCAUGUGUAGCGGUGAAAUGCGUAGAUAUAUGGAGGAACACCGGUGGCGAAAGCGGCUCUCUUGUCUGUAACUGACGCUGAGGCUCGAAAGCGUGGGGAGCGAACAGG
RNAcentral lists this ribosomal RNA (429 nucleotides) under Bacteroidota bacterium. Its description in RNAcentral is "Bacteroidetes bacterium partial 16S ribosomal RNA". It matches the Rfam family "Bacterial small subunit ribosomal RNA", at positions 355 to 776 of the family's 1533-position model. The record is from RNAcentral. Lineage: Bacteria; Pseudomonadati; Bacteroidota.